UACGUAGGUGGCAAGCGUUGUCCGGAUUUACUGGGCGUAAAGAGCGCGCAGGCGGUCGUUCAAGUCGCGUGUGAAAGCCCCCGGCUCAACUGGGGAGGGUCACGCGAUACUGAUCGACUCGAAGGCAGGAGAGGGUAGUGGAAUUCCAGGUGUAGCGGUGAAAUGCGUAGAUAUCUGGAGGAAUACCGGUGGCGAAGGCGGCAUCCUGGACCGACAUUGACGCUGAUGAGCGAAAGCUAGGGGAGCAAACGGG
This 253-nucleotide ribosomal RNA is filed under the name uncultured bacterium. RNAcentral's name for it is "partial 16S ribosomal RNA". It matches the Rfam family "Bacterial small subunit ribosomal RNA", at positions 524 to 776 of the family's 1533-position model. The record is from RNAcentral.